CCUACGGGAGGCAGCAGUGAGGAAUAUUGGUCAAUGGGCUUACGCCUGAACCAGCCAAGUCGCGUGAGGGAAGACUGCCCUAUGGGUUGUAAACCUCUUUUGUCAGGGAGCAACGCCGGCUACGUGUAGCCGGACUGAGAGUACCUGAAGAAAAAGCAUCGGCUAACUCCGUGCCAGCAGCCGCGGUAAUACGGGGCAUGCGAGCGUUAUCCGGAUUGAUUGGGUUUUAAGGGUGCGUAGCGGGAAUGCCAAGGCAGCGGUGAAAUCCCGGGGCUCAACCUCGCUCCGCCGUUGAAACUGGCGUUCUUGAGUGGGCGAGAAGUAUGCGGAAUGCGUGGUGUAGCGGUGAAAUGCAUAGAUAUCACGCAGAACUCCGAUUGCGAAGGCAGCAUACCGGCGCCCAACUGACGCUGAAGCACGAAAGCGUGGGUAUCGAACAGGAUUAGAUACCCUAGUAGUC
Molecule: ribosomal RNA, 460 nt
Filed under: uncultured bacterium
Lineage: Bacteria
Description: partial 16S ribosomal RNA
Rfam family: Bacterial small subunit ribosomal RNA
Source: RNAcentral